CGACAUGGCUCAGUUGGUAGAGCAAUUCACUCGUAAUGAAUAGGUCGCAGGUUCGAUUCCCGCUGUCGGC
This 70-nucleotide transfer RNA is filed under the name pig gut metagenome. It matches the Rfam family "tRNA". Rfam says of the family: Transfer RNA (tRNA) molecules are approximately 80 nucleotides in length. Their secondary structure includes four short double-helical elements and three loops (D, anti-codon, and T loops). Further hydrogen bonds mediate the characteristic L-shaped molecular structure. tRNAs have two regions of fundamental functional importance: the anti-codon, which is responsible for specific mRNA codon recognition, and the 3' end, to which the tRNAs corresponding amino acid is attached (by aminoacyl-tRNA synthetases). tRNAs cope with the degeneracy of the genetic code in two manners: having more than one tRNA (with a specific anti-codon) for a particular amino acid; and 'wobble' base-pairing, i.e. permitting non-standard base-pairing at the 3rd anti-codon position. The record is from RNAcentral.